RNAcentral lists this ribosomal RNA (493 nucleotides) under uncultured bacterium. RNAcentral describes it as "bacterial SSU rRNA". It matches the Rfam family "Bacterial small subunit ribosomal RNA", at positions 28 to 507 of the family's 1533-position model. The record is from RNAcentral.
GAUGAACGCUAGCGGCAGGCUUAACACAUGCAAGUCGAGGGGUAACAUAGAAAAGCUUGCUUUUCUGAUGACGACCGGCGCACGGGUGCGUAACGCGUAUACAACCUACCUUUUAGCGGGGAAUAGCCCAGGGAAACUUGGAUUAAUGCCCCAUAGUAUAUAGACUUCUCCUGAAGUUUAUAUUAAACAUUUAUGGCUAUUAGAUGGGUAUGCGUCCUAUUAGUUAGUUGGUAAGGUAACGGCUUACCAAGGCAGCGAUAGGUAGGGGUCCUGAGAGGGAGACUCCCCACACUGGUACUGAGACACGGACCAGACUCCUACGGGAGGCAGCAGUGAGGAAUAUUGGACAAGUGGGCGAGAGCCUGAUCCAGCCAUGCCGCGUGCAGGAAGACUCGCCCUAGUGGGUUAGUAAACUGUCUUUUACAGAGGAAGAACCCACCCCACGUGUGGGGGUUUGACGGUACUCUGCGAAUAAGGAUCGGCUAACUACGUG